GAUGAACGCUGGCGGCGUGCUUAACACAUGCAAGUCGAACGGUGAACCCGGAGCUUGCUCUGUGGGAUCAGUGGCGAACGGGUGAGUAACACGUGAGCAACCUGCCCCUGACUCUGGGAUAAGCGCUGGAAACGGCGUCUAAUACUCGAUAUGUGACGUGACCGCAUGGUCUGCGUUUGGAAAGAUUUUUCGGUUGGGGAUGGGCUCGCGGCCUAUCAGCUUGUUGGUGAGGUAAUGGCUCACCAAGGCGUCGACGGGUAGCCGGCCUGAGAGGGUGACCGGCCACACUGGGACUGAGACACGGCCCAGACUCCUACGGGAGGCAGCAGUGGGGAAUAUUGCACAAUGGGCGCAAGCCUGAUGCAGCAACGCCGCGUGAGGGAUGACGGCCUUCGGGUUGUAAACCUCUUUUAGCAGGGAAGAAGCGAAAGUGACGGUACCUGCAGAAAAAGCGCCGGCUAACUACGUG
Molecule: ribosomal RNA, 469 nt
Filed under: uncultured bacterium
Lineage: Bacteria
Description: partial 16S ribosomal RNA
Rfam family: Bacterial small subunit ribosomal RNA
Source: RNAcentral